GUCAUUUACCAUUAACUUAUUUUUUCUCUUUCACCUUCCCAAAAAAUGUCCAAUGUUCAGUUUGUGCAGGUGUUCUAGGGCAGCCUCAUGAGCACAUAAUUGGAUUUGUCUUACAAGGGCAGCCUCAAUCACAGGAUAUAACAACAAAAUGCAGGUCUUCAUUAUUUACUACUAAGUUUCUUCAACUCCCAAGUUCCAAGAGUUAGCUUCGAACAUAUCUGCCAUGAUCUUUAAGCUACAUUGAGCAAUCCAACUUUAAGCACAAUUCACAUAGCUCUUUAGUAUGCAAUUAUCUUCCUUUCAUAUUGAUUAGCAUAAAAUUUCAGAAAAUUUACAGGAAGAAACAGCGGGUAGAAGCAGCCGAUUGCAUGACUACAACAACCAGCGAGCAUGAGCAGCCGCAAAGUAAUUGACCAAGGCUGUAGGGAUGCCCAUUAGCAGUCUAGACAAGAUUAUGUAUAACGGAAGUGAGUCAGGGGAAAGAAUGUUAUGCAGUUACUGAUUCAGAUUCCGGAAAGAAUCAGAGGAAGACUGGCCAAUGAUUGCUCACAUCCCAAAUGUUUCUGUUUCACCCUGGGGCUGACAUACAAGGGAACAUGUUCACAGGACUGAGUGGCCGAGUCAUUGCUUGAAACAAACAAGAUAGCACAACUCAUUCUAUGAAUUGCAAUUACCAAAGAGAUCGAAGAAACAAGGUGGAAGCAACCAAAAGGGCGAUUAUAAAGACCAUCGAGCAUGAGCAGCCACAAAGCAAUUGGCCAAGGCUGUAGGGGUAAGUGUUAAUAGUAGUCUAAGACAACAUCUCAGAAGAAAGAGUCUUAUGCACUUACUGGAGAUUGUUUCCAAUUGUGCUUUACAACUAAUUAUUUGGGUUGUCUAGUCGGACCAUGGGUCUUCCAUUGUGGGGAAAUGAUUGAUGAACUUGGCGUCGUCUUUAUGUGCUUAUGUGAGUGGUUUUCCUAGUUCUCAACCCAGACUUCUAAUAUUCAUAGUGGUUGACAUUAUAAGUUUGCUUCAUAGGGACGGGAGUAGGGAUGGCAAUGGGGCGGGUUGGAGCCGGUUUCUUAUUUCCCAUCUCCAUCCCCGUUUAAAUUUGGCACUCCCAAAACCGUUUCAUAACCGAUUAUUUUUUUACCCCUAAUCUCCAUAACCGCCCCCUGCCACAUCCCCGCCCCGCCCCGCUUUAAAAGAUAGGAAUGAGGAGGGUUUAUUUAGAAGUGUGGAUAUAUAUAUAAUAUGUUAAAUCGGUAAGUACAAUAACAUGGUAGGGAGCUAAUAGGAGUAA
Cornus florida is the source of this 1285-nucleotide long non-coding RNA. RefSeq lists it as uncharacterized. The record is from RefSeq and is a predicted model, not a curated record. The transcript is spliced from 4 exons. Lineage: Eukaryota; Viridiplantae; Streptophyta; Magnoliopsida; Cornales; Cornaceae.